ACAUGUUGCGUUUGAGUCACGCAGAUUAAAGCGUUUGAGUCACGCAGAUUAAGUAAUACACACCAAAGUAAUCAAAAGAUUUGUCCAGAUCCUCCCUCAUCGAGCAAAACAACGUAGAUUCCUUCUUCUUUACACGCGAAAAAGUUGAGAUCGGGAAACGAGUUAACUGUCUCCUUUCCCACUCUCUUUCUGCACCACCCUCCUUCUAUCUCUUCAAACAAUUUUGCCCUCUUUUCGUCCUUGCUGCAGAAUUCGAUAAUCUCAUUCCGUUCUUUGCGCCGAUUCAUCUCAUCCCAGUUCAUUGUGAAAACGUUUUCGCCUAACAUUCCGCCCUCAAUUCUAGAUCCUGGAAAUGUGAAUUUGGAAAAACACUUUUCCACAAACAUAUCAAACUCGUAUCUGGAUAACAGUCCAAUCGCUCUAGCGGGAGAGUUUUCUACGAUGGUCCGGAAUUCAUCCGCAUCAAGUCUCCUGUAACCGGUCGUGGUUAGCUUUACCGGUUUCUUGCUUCCGUCAAUUCCUUCAGUUGUUAUUAGAUAGACGUUGGGAGUAAUGGGGUAGCGUACUUGCCUGGCCAACUGAGACACUUCUUUUAGGUCAGGAAUUUUCCACAUCUCAAUUUCAUCAAUCAUCUCAAUCACCGGUGACUCAACAAUCACAAAAAGGCAAUGAAAGUGGUUUUUGAUCUCGAUGGGGUUCCCAGCAGAGAAUCCACAGGUGUAGAUCAGAACAUCGGUACUACUCAUAUCCUUCUUCUCUAUAUUCUUCAUUUUACCGUCGAAUCUAACAACGUUCUUGUUAGAAGGUACCAAUUUUUUAAUCUUGUUUCCCCAGCGUUUGGAAGGUACAACCACAACAACCUUGUAAUUCAUAUCCAUCGCAUACAAAAAACGAAUUAGAAGUCCGUUGUUUCCCACUGUAGAUCUGGGGUGAGACAUCUCUUCGUACAGCGCGAUAGAUUUGAUGUCGUUUGACAGAGGGUAAAUCACGCGGCUUAUCUCCCCGUCAUCGCACUCCAUCUUGCUUGCCGGUUCACUCACACUCUCAUCAGAAACAGGGGUAAUUUGGAUAAAGUUGUUCAUCUUGAUUUCUUGGUUACCGGUUUCUCCUCGUUGAAUUGUAGUUGUCUGCUCGAGUUUUCAGCUCAGAAUGAUUUUGUCUGUUCUCAUACCAGUUAUAUAGUUUUACGAGGAGAAAGACCUUGUAAAAAAGCAAGUACACCUCUCAAGCAAGCACACCUCAGAAGCAAGUACUCCUCAUAAGCAAGCACACCUCUCAAGCAAGCACUCCUUACUAUUUUGCGUGAAACAAACGCACAAAAUUACAAAUAAAAACUUUUAUUUUACAA
Molecule: small RNA, 1348 nt
Filed under: Haliotid herpesvirus 1
Lineage: Duplodnaviria; Heunggongvirae; Peploviricota; Herviviricetes; Herpesvirales; Malacoherpesviridae
Source: RNAcentral